Molecule: long non-coding RNA, 1774 nt
Organism: Numida meleagris (helmeted guineafowl)
Lineage: Eukaryota; Metazoa; Chordata; Aves; Galliformes; Numididae
Source: Ensembl
GGAGGAAAGCGAAGGGCCUCGCUACAGCUCUCCCCAUGGCAAAGUCCCCCAGUGAGGGUCUCCAGGAAAUCAGAGGGGGCAAAGCCAAAGCAAAGCUUGGCGCAUCUCUCUUCUGUGUUCCACAUAGGCAACACGAAGCAUCUACACAUGCAGCCUGGGGAGCAUGGGAUGCAUGACCAGGGCUGUGCUUUGUUAAUGUUAAAGGUUUGAUGGCAGUGACAAUUUUAACAAAAUUCAUUAACACAUUAACAGAAAUGAAACCCACUCUGUGCUCAUGAUUAGCCACAUGUUUCCCUCUCCAUCAUGGAAAGCAGGGCUCCAGAGGGUCUGAAGUGUACUGUGCUGAGCAGGUACAAAAACAGCCAUUACAUGACUUAGAUUUCCCUUAAUUAACAUUAUAUGUCACCCCACACGUCUCCGGCAAUGACUAAAGUCUGACUUGACAGCAGUGGCUUCCCAUAAGCGCAGGCAAGCGGUCUCUGUUGCAAGAAAGUGUUUGGCACUUCUGUGAAACAUGAACAACCUCAUGGCAUGGCAAAGCUUCCUGCAGAGUCUGGUGUACAUGAAGUAAGGGAAAAAGCUGAUAACUGGAGGAAAUUACUAGAAGUUCUGCCUGGGAUCAGUUGGUCGCUAUCCUUGAGUUUCUGGAAAAUAACACAUCCACAGGCUGAGGGGGUUAUUAUACUAUGUAUAUAUAUACAGAUAUGGUUAUAUUGUUUAUUAUAUAGAGAGUUUAACAUACAUUAUAUAUCCAGCAGCUGGGAUGCAGCAAGCGCACGAUGAGGAACAGCAGAAAGAAGAAUGACCCCACGCUGCUGUUACAAGCAGCUUCCUGAAAGCAGCUUGCGGCCAGGAAAAUCGCUGGAUGAAAUCCCUCAGAGGAGAAAGUCCAGGGAUUGGAGUCACGCUGCAGCACUCCAGCCUGCGACAGAGGGACAAAAGGGGAAGGACAGACAAACACCUAUCCAACACCUACUCCAGAAGGCAGCACAAAGAAGAGGAUGUAAAGCAGGACAAACAAGAGUGGCUUGUGCAAGAACUCCUGUAUUAGAAUUGAGUUUGUAAGUAAAGUAAAAUAGCAAACAGAGUUUAGAGGAGCGUUUUGUUUCUUCCUGGAAGCACAAGCAGAGGAGGGGAAGGCCAGCGACGUUCCAGGAGGGCAGCAUCUAGCAGCACGCCUGCGCUGAGCAAGCUGGGACGCGGAGCUGUGCCAAGCUAUUUUUACUUCUGCUCCAGUCCCGCAGCCACGCUGGCAGAUGUGCUCCCAGCUGCAGAUGACUUCCAUGUGUAACCCUGCACUGGCUAGGGGCCCAGGGCGUAGUGUGCUUCCUUAAAAGGCCCGGGAGAGCAAGGCGAUGCCCAAUCCCAGGGGCGGCUGGCCACAGGGGCCCCAAGCCGCCCUCUGCCCUCGGGAAAGCCCAGAGUGGGCCUUCACAGCAUGACAUGGGGUCGUUGGGAGCAGUGAGGGGGAAAGGGUGCUGCAGCAGGUGGGAAGGAUGAUUCACAGGUCGCUGUAACCUCCUGCUCCCACCUAAAAGGAGAGGCUGCAGAGGAAGCAGUGUGUUGGAGCAUGGGAUGGGUCCAGUUUGCAUGCAGGCAACGUUUGUAACCCCUGAAAGCGAAAAAGGGGGCUUUCAGCAUGCCCCGUGCACGCUGGAAUGCAGGGCAGGCUGCUCUGUCCUCCAGGCAGCUACAGUUCAGUGCAGACAAUAUGAGAAACAACGAUAAUAAUAAGUGCAAUAAAAAGUCAAUUCCCUGUUCCCUCCUUCUCUAA